Non-coding RNA from Cinara cedri, 572 nucleotides. The record is from the annotation of a GenBank genome assembly. Lineage: Eukaryota; Metazoa; Arthropoda; Insecta; Hemiptera; Aphididae.
CUCCGUACAUUAAAUAAUAUAGCAUAGCUGAUGAUGGGAAUAUCGUAUACCUACGUUAGAAAAAUCUCGCGACACACAUUUUCUACCAUUCGAACGAAUCCGAUAUAAAUUAGGCACCCUGGUAGGAGGCAAAAAGUUUUAAUUUCGACGAAACAUGCAGUAUUCUGCAAAAUACUUUGCUAAUUUUUAAUUCUUAGUUUUUGUUUGAUAAGUACAUAGUCUAUAUAUUUGUACUCUACACUGUCUGGGAGUUAGGAUAUUCUGAUGGACUUGUCACGGUAGAAUUUCGAGCGAGAAAUAAAAACUAUUCCGCGUACGGGCGAUUAAAAUACACCGCUAUCAAUAGCCGAAGAGGUUUUCUCGAAAAACAAAAACAAAACCCGUGCAUUAUUUUAAACGACAAAAAUAUAAAGAUUUUAUACUGUUGUUAACUGUUAAAGGAGCGCCUGAGUACAUUUUUAUAAGGGGGAUAAGAGAAUAAGAAAAAGUUGCAGAUCGUUGUUGUCUGGUCAGUAUAAAUCUCUCGGAAGUCUGUAUAGAUAUAUGGGUAUAGGAGGGGAGAAAAAAAUUUC